RNAcentral lists this non-coding RNA (138 nucleotides) under Otolemur garnettii (small-eared galago). RNAcentral describes it as "Eukaryotic large subunit ribosomal RNA". It matches the Rfam family "Eukaryotic large subunit ribosomal RNA", at positions 2139 to 2276 of the family's 3401-position model. Lineage: Eukaryota; Metazoa; Chordata; Mammalia; Primates; Galagidae. The record is from Rfam by way of RNAcentral.
UGUUUAAUUAAAACAAGGUAUCUCAAAGGCCCGUGGUGGGUGUUGAUGCAAUGUGAUUUCUGCCCAGUGCUCUGAAUGUCAGUGAAGAAAUUUAAUGAAGCACAGGUAAACGAGGGGUGGGGGGGCCUAAAUAUUUUA